ACAACAAAUUAAGUGGAGACUUUCCAAGAAAUAUUGAAGAUUUAACAGGAGCAACCUACAUAGAUCUUUCAUAUAACAACUUCAGUGUUGAUCACCAAGAACCAGAGACAUGUUAUGAGCAAAAUGUGAACUUGUUUGCAAGCUUUCGAAGGAAUAACUCAGGACCAGUUUCUUCCAAGAGCAGCACUAGAAUCUGUACUAAAAGUAAGUUAAUCAAAUAUGUAAUUCAUGCAAACUCAGCUAUCUUACUCAUAUUGCCAAGCUAAUGUUGUAAUACUCCUUUACCAACAUGUGAAAAAAGG
This is a long non-coding RNA of Gastrolobium bilobum, 302 nucleotides long. RefSeq lists it as uncharacterized. Lineage: Eukaryota; Viridiplantae; Streptophyta; Magnoliopsida; Fabales; Fabaceae. The transcript is spliced from 4 exons. The record is from RefSeq and is a predicted model, not a curated record.